AUCGAACGCUGGCGGCAUGCCUUACACAUGCAAGUCGAACGGCAGAACGGGAGCAAUCCUGGUGGCGAGUGGCAAACGGGCUAGUAAACUACCGGGACGUGCCCAGUCGCGGGGGAUGACGUAGCGAAAGUUACGCUAAUACCGCAUACGGUCUAUGACUGAAAGCGGGGGAGUGACAGAUCUCGCGCGAAUGAAGGGACCGAUAGCCGAUUAGGUAGUUGGGGGGGUAAAGGCUCACCAAGCCGACGAUCUGUAGCUGGUCUGAGAGGGCGACCAGCCACACUGGGACUGAGACACGGCCCAGACUCCUACGGGAGGCAGCAGUGGGGAAUUUUGGACAAUGGGCGCAAGCCUGAUCCAGCCAUGCCGCGUGCGGGAAGAAGGCCUUCGGGUUGUAAACCGCUUUUGUCGGGGAAGAAAUACUCCGGGCUAAUACCCUGGAAGGAUGACGGUACCCGAAGAAUAAGCACCGGCUAACUACGUGCCAGCAGCCGCCGUAA
This 500-nucleotide ribosomal RNA is filed under the name uncultured bacterium. Its description in RNAcentral is "partial 16S ribosomal RNA". It matches the Rfam family "Bacterial small subunit ribosomal RNA", at positions 29 to 523 of the family's 1533-position model. The record is from RNAcentral.